This 108-nucleotide non-coding RNA is filed under the name Phaeobacter gallaeciensis. RNAcentral describes it as "Glycine sequence". It matches the Rfam family "Glycine riboswitch aptamer". Rfam says of the family: This family represents the bacterial glycine riboswitch. Glycine riboswitches usually consist of two metabolite-binding aptamers domains with similar structures in tandem. Lineage: Bacteria; Pseudomonadati; Pseudomonadota; Alphaproteobacteria; Rhodobacterales; Roseobacteraceae. The record is from Rfam by way of RNAcentral.
GGCGCGCAGACGGGAGAACCGCAGCGGAGCGGAAUCACCUCGCUCCAACCGGUGCCGAAGGAGCAACCGCCCCGGAAACUCUCAGGCCAAAGGGACCGCCUGCGCAGU